UUUCCGUAGGUGAGCCUGCGGAAGGAUCAUUAAAGAGAAUAUGCCCUUCGGGGUAGAUCUCCCACCCUUUGUUUAUAUUACCUUUGUUGCUUUGGCAGGCCCGUCUUCGGACCACCGGCUUCGGCUGGUCAGUGCUUGCCAGAGGACCCUAAACUCUUAUUAUUAAUGUCGUCUGAGUACUAUAUAAUAGUUAAAACUUUCAACAACGGAUCUCUUGGUUCUG
This 223-nucleotide unclassified non-coding RNA is filed under the name plant metagenome. RNAcentral describes it as "partial contains small subunit ribosomal RNA, internal transcribed spacer 1, and 5.8S ribosomal RNA". The record is from RNAcentral.